This 497-nucleotide ribosomal RNA is filed under the name uncultured bacterium. RNAcentral's name for it is "partial 16S ribosomal RNA". It matches the Rfam family "Bacterial small subunit ribosomal RNA", at positions 28 to 507 of the family's 1533-position model. The record is from RNAcentral.
GAUGAACGCUGGCGGCGUGCCUAAUACAUGCAAGUCGAACGACAAGACGAGAAGCUUGCUCCUUUACCGUUGGCGGCGGGCGGGUGAGUAACACGUACAUCACCUACCUCUAUUACUUGGAUAACUACGGGAGACCGGAUAUAAUAAUAGCGCAUAUAAUCUACCGCUUGGUGCAAUAGAGAAAGACGCCUUUGCUGUCACUUUUAGCCGAUUCCGCGUCGGAUUGGCUAGUUGGUAAGGUAACGGCAUACCAAGGCAACGAUGCGUAGCCGACCUGAGAGGGUGAUCGGCCACACUGGAACUGAGACACGGUCCAGACUCCUACGGGAGGCAGCAGUAGGGAAUAUUGGGCAAUGGGCGAAAGCCUGACGGAGCAACGCCGCGUGGGUGAUGAAGGUCUUCGGGUCGUAAAACUCUGUUAUUAGGAAAGAAAAGAUGUGUAAGUAACUAUGCACGUCUUGACGGUACCUAAACAAAAAGCAACGGCUAACUACGUG